Molecule: ribosomal RNA, 229 nt
Filed under: uncultured bacterium
Lineage: Bacteria
Description: partial 16S ribosomal RNA
Rfam family: Bacterial small subunit ribosomal RNA
Source: RNAcentral
UCCGUAGGCGGGUAAUUAAGUCAGAGGUGAAAUCUCACAGCUUAACUGUGGAACUGCCUUAGAUACUGGUUAUCUUGAGUUUUAGUGAAGUAGAUAGAAUGUGUAGUGUAGCGGUGAAAUGCAUAGAUAUUACACAGAAUACCGAUUGCGAAGGCAGUCUACUAACUAACAACUGACGCUAAUGGACGAAAGCGUGGGGAGCGAACAGGAUUAGAUACCCUGGUAGUCC